UACGUAGGGGGCAAGCGUUAUCCGGAUUUACUGGGUGUAAAGGGAGCGUAGACGGUUAAGCAAGUCUGAAGUGAAAGGCGGGGGCUCAACCCCCGGACUGCUUUGGAAACUGUAUGACUGGAGUGCAGGAGAGGUAAGUGGAAUUCCUAGUGUAGCGGUGAAAUGCGUAGAUAUUAGGAGGAACACCAGUGGCGAAGGCGGCUUACUGGACUGUAACUGACGUUGAGGCUCGAAAGCGUGGGGAGCAAACAGG
This 253-nucleotide ribosomal RNA is filed under the name uncultured bacterium. RNAcentral describes it as "partial 16S ribosomal RNA". It matches the Rfam family "Bacterial small subunit ribosomal RNA", at positions 524 to 776 of the family's 1533-position model. The record is from RNAcentral.